GGCUUGGUCCUGACUUUACUAUCAGCUUUAACCCAAUUUAUACAUGCAAGUCUCCGCACCCCUGUGAGAAUGCCCUCAAUCCCCUGCCCGGGGACGAGGAGCAGGCAUCAGGCACAUCCUCUACAGAUCGCGCCCAAGACGCCUUGCUACGCCACUCCCCCAAGGGAACUCAGCAGUAAUAGACAUUAAGCCAUAAGUGUAAACUUGACUUAGUUAGGGUUAUUAGGGCCGGUAAAAUUCGUGCCAGCCACCGCGGUUAUACGAAAGGCCCUAGUUGCUAGCCACGGCGUAAAGGGUGGUUAAGGACAACAACAAAUAAAGCUAAAGAUCCCCUAAGCCGUCAUACGCAUUCCGGGGGCACGAAGCCCUAACACGAAAGUAGCUUUAAAAAAUAUACCUGACCCCACGAAAGCUAAGAAACAAACUGGGAUUAGAUACCCCACUAUGCUUAGCCUUAAACCCAGAUGUAUUCUUACACACACAUCCGCCCGGGUACUACGAGCAUAGCUUAAAACCCAAAGGACUUGGCGGUGUCUCAGACCCACCUAGAGGAGCCUGUUCUAUAACCGAUAACCCCCGUUAAACCUCACCACUUCUUGUUAAUACCGCCUAUAUACCGCCGUCGUCAGCUUACCCUGUGAAGGUCUAACAGUAAGCAAAAUGGGCCCGCCCAAAAACGUCAGGUCGAGGUGUAGCGUACGAAGUGGGAAGAAAUGGGCUACAUUUUCUACAACUAGAAUAUUAAACGAAUGGCAUUAUGAAAAUUAUUGCCUGAAGGUGGAUUUAGUAGUAAAAAGCAAACAGAGUGUCCUUUUGAAUUAGGCUCUGAGACGCGCACACACCGCCCGUCACUCUCCCCUACACAUAACUAUUUCACAUAUAUAAUACACUCCACAUCAAUACGGGGAGGCAAGUCGUAACAUGGUAAGUGUACCGGAAGGUGCACUUGGAACAAUCAGGACGUGGCUGAGAUAGCCAAGCAUCUCCCUUACACCGAGAAGACAUCCAUGCAAAUUGGAUCGCCCUGAGCCAAAAAGCUAGCUUAACCCCCAGAAUACCUAAAACAACAUUAAAAUACUCCAAAAAACCACAAUAUCCCAAAUUAAAACAUUCUACCGCCCUAGUACGUGUGACAGAAAAGGCAAUAAUAAAGCAAUAAAUAAAGUACCGCAAGGGAACGCUGAAAGAGAAAUGAAAUAGAUCAUU
This 1206-nucleotide non-coding RNA is filed under the name Ameiurus nebulosus (brown bullhead). Its description in RNAcentral is "partial small subunit ribosomal RNA". The stretch from base 1 to 962 matches the Rfam family "Bacterial small subunit ribosomal RNA". The record is from RNAcentral. Lineage: Eukaryota; Metazoa; Chordata; Actinopteri; Siluriformes; Ictaluridae.